This 132-nucleotide small RNA is filed under the name Salmonella enterica. Its description in RNAcentral is "RtT sRNA". It matches the Rfam family "RtT RNA". From Rfam's summary of the family: This family represents a bacterial cis-regulatory element known as RtT RNA. The exact function of RtT is unknown although it is thought that it may be involved in changing the cellular response in relation to amino acid starvation. The record is from RNAcentral. Lineage: Bacteria; Pseudomonadati; Pseudomonadota; Gammaproteobacteria; Enterobacterales; Enterobacteriaceae.
GUUUGCACUUGUCGGGGAAGGGUGAGAACCUUCGAUUAAGGUUCGACUCGAGCUAAAGCGAGAGAACGUUGCCAACGGCAACGGCCCGUAGGGUGAGGAGCGAAGCGACGAAUAAUCCUUCCCCCACCACCA